Long non-coding RNA from Biomphalaria glabrata, 2051 nucleotides. RefSeq lists it as uncharacterized. The transcript has 5 exons. The record is from RefSeq and is a predicted model, not a curated record. NCBI's taxonomy places the organism in Eukaryota, Metazoa, Mollusca, Gastropoda, Planorbidae.
UCUAAUAAAUGAUUAACGCGGCCCUACCAAUAUGGGUAUAUUAAUACUUAAAUCUGGGUAUUUUAAAUUUCGAAUGCGCAUUUUUAAAAAACCGAACUUAUCUAUAGAUCUCUUAUAUCUAGAAUAAUCUAGAUCUACAACACCCAGACUUAGACUAUGGUUCUAGAUCUAUUUAAAAGAUAUUUUUUAAAAAAUAACUCAACAGAUCUAAUAAAGUCAUGAUUUCCACUCUAUUUUCUCUAGAUCUAGACUAUACAUGAGAUCUAAAUCUAGACUUCACUUUCACAUCACAUGAUUAUUGAUACAGACAGUGAAUGAAACGAAUGCAGUGAUUAUAUUAUAGUUUAUACUGACUUAUAGCUCUACCAGUUGAUUAUCAUCAUCAUCAUCUGAGGUCAUCUCGAAUAAUAAUCUAGACUAUUAUUAACAAGUAGAACCAUGCCAACCAGUUCUGAUGAUGUACCAGAAUGGCUCAAGGAUCAUACUUAUACUAUUUCUACUCUCUGGGCAGACAUUAAUAAUAUUGGCAUCCAUUCAAUAUUUAUUUUAUGUUUGGAAAUGCAAGAAAAAGGCAUGCAUUCCUGACAAGUCAAUGAUUGGUUGCACCUCUUAAAGAUAACUUUCUGUUAUGAGAAAAGAUGAGAUUCUUGGACUCCUGCAUAGCACCACCAGAAAGGAAAAUCCCAUCAUGUUGCAAAAUAAAAGUCUUGGACCAAUUUUAAUUUAAGAUAUAUAUAUUAUACUGUAAGCUCUAUACAUAUUUAUGUAUAUCCUGUCAUUCAGCCAACAGGUUUGGAUUUAGUAUUUCUUUAAAUCUGUUUGAUAUUGUACUUGAAAACUAUUAAUCUGAGCCCCAUUAAAACAAUAGGGAGUGCAGUGAAUGAGUGGUAAAGCACUUGGCUUCUGAACUGAGGGUUCCUGGGUUCAAUUAAGACUGGGAUUUUCAAUUUCAGAAUUCAUAAGGCUAGGGAUACAUGGCAAUAGUAAGGAAUAAGUAAAGGCAGUUUGGGGAUCCAUGGCUGAAUGGUUAAGUCAUGGGUUUGAAUCUCUGUGAAGACUCGGGUUAAAAUUUUUUUAGAUUUUUGGGUGCCCCUGAGUCCACCUAACUCUAAUGGGUAGCUGACUUUUGUUUUGGAAAGUAAAGAUGGUUGGUUGUUGUGCUGGCCACAUGAUGCACUGGCCAAAGAAUCAAAUGACCUUAACAUCAUCUGCCCUAUAGAUUGUGACGUCUGAAAUGGGAUUUUUUUUCAAAAGGUGGUUGGUUGUUGUGCUGGGUACAUGACACCCUCGCUAACCAUGGGGCACAGAAACUGAUAAACUUUAUAUCAUCUGCCCCAUAGAUUGCAAGAUAUGUAAGGGAAAUUUUACUUUUUUAAAAUUAAAAUAAGAAUCUAUCAAAAGUAAACAUAAAAUAUGGUGCAUUCUCCUUAAAACUAAAACCUGGUGCGAAGGUUUAAAAUGUUGGCAAAAAAAAGCAACAUCAUAUAUUCUUAAUUCCCUUUGCAAAACUUACUGAGAAGAACAUGCAUGUUGUUCCCUCAUAAUUUUCUUGACAGAGGAAAUCUUGUUUAUAUUAGAUUUGAAUUAAGCAAAUUAAGACAAAAAUUAUAAUCAUUAUUUCAAAUGGUUGUAUCUAAACCUUGUGAAUUAUUUUUCUGUUAUAAGUAUAUUGAGAUUAAUGGAUAAUCAUGAAAUUGUAAAAUAAUUGCUGCUAUCAUUCCAUUGACUAAAGAACCAUAAUUUUUUUUUUUUUAAAUUAAUUUCAAAAUGAUUUUUUUCAAGCAUAGAGUUCACAUAGAUCUUGAGUGAAUUUUUUUUUUUUAUUUGACUAAUGCUUCAAUUUUAUUGUAUCAUAUUAGUUUUUAAUUUUUAUUACCCAGAAUAUUUAAAAAAUGAGUACACUAUUUUCAUGUAAUAAUGUAACUUGGUAUUCACAGAAUGCUCAAAAUACACCAUAAUCUUUAGGCCAUACAGAUUUGUAUAAAUUAACUUGUUUAAAUACAUUGUAAAUGUAUACUGUUUGGAUAAGAAUAAAGUUUUUCUGUAGACAA